This 253-nucleotide ribosomal RNA is filed under the name uncultured bacterium. RNAcentral's name for it is "partial 16S ribosomal RNA". It matches the Rfam family "Bacterial small subunit ribosomal RNA", at positions 524 to 776 of the family's 1533-position model. The record is from RNAcentral.
UACGUAGGGUGCGAGCGUUACUCGGAAUUACUGGGCGUAAAGCGUGCGCAGGCGGUUCGUUAAGUUCGAUGUGAAAGCCCCGGGCUCAACCUGGGAAUGGCAUUGAAAACUGGCGGGCUUGAGUCUGGCAGAGGGGGGUGGAAUUCCGCGUGUAGCAGUGAAAUGCGUAGAGAUGCGGAGGAACACCGAUGGCGAAGGCAGCCCCCUGGGCCAAGACUGACGCUCAGGCACGAAAGCGUGGGGAGCAAACAGG